This 468-nucleotide ribosomal RNA is filed under the name uncultured bacterium. RNAcentral describes it as "partial 16S ribosomal RNA". It matches the Rfam family "Bacterial small subunit ribosomal RNA", at positions 28 to 507 of the family's 1533-position model. The record is from RNAcentral.
GACGAACGCUGGCGGCGUGCUUAACACAUGCAAGUCGAACGGAAAGGCCCUGCUUUUGUGGGGUGCUCGAGUGGCGAACGGGUGAGUAACACGUGAGUAACCUGCCCUUGACUUUGGGAUAACUUCAGGAAACUGGGGCUAAUACCGGAUAGGAGCUCCUGUAGCAGGGUGGGGGUGGGAAAGUUUCGGCGGUUGGGGAUGGACUAGCGGCUUAUCAGCUUGUUGGUGGGGUAGUGGCUUACCAAGGCUUUGACGGGUAGCCGGCCUGAGAGGGUGACCGGCCACAUUGGGACUGCGGUACGGCCCAGACUGCUACGGGAGGCAGCAGUGGGGAAUAUUGCACAAUGGGCGGAAGCCUGAUGCAGCAACGCCGCGUGCGGGAUGACGGCCUUCGGGUUGUAAACCGCUUUCGCCUGUGACGAAGCGUGAGUGACGGUAAUGGGUAAAGAAGCACCGGCUAACUACGUG